RNAcentral lists this unclassified non-coding RNA (149 nucleotides) under soil metagenome. RNAcentral's name for it is "partial internal transcribed spacer 1". The record is from RNAcentral.
UAAAUAAGUGUUUUAUGGCACUUUUUAAAUCCAUAUCCACCUUGUGUGGCAAUGUCAGUCGAUCUUCUUCAUGGAGAUCGACCAAACAUCAACCUUUAUUUUUUAACUCUUUGUCUGAAAAAUAUGUAUGAAUAAACAAUUCAAAAAUA